UGUGUGAGAAAAGGAGUGAUUUUUGGUGUGAAAAACCUCAGAGUUGGGGCAUAAAAAGUUGAGAGUGAGUUGAGCUUCCGUGCGUGAGAAACAGAGGAAGUGAUCUUCCUCUCGGACGUGAGGUGUAGGGUGGGUUCUAGGGUUUCAACUCUAGAUUUUGUGAGAAAAAAAAUACAAGUCUUGUUCAAUCUCCCACACCACCACUUCCUUGUAAAGCUUCAUUUUCUAAUCUGAAGGAGUUCGGA
Molecule: long non-coding RNA, 245 nt
Filed under: Elaeis guineensis (African oil palm)
Lineage: Eukaryota; Viridiplantae; Streptophyta; Magnoliopsida; Arecales; Arecaceae
Description: long non-coding RNA (EGUI_LNC066983)
Source: RNAcentral